CACAGAGGCGCGAAGUUCAUCAGUAGCUUGCUCUGCAAGCCCAGCCAGGGCAUGGAGCGGUGAAAGGGUCCUUCGCCGAAGGCGGUACGCGGCACGUAUCGACCUGGGCUCGUUGCCGAAAAGGAGCGGGACUGUCACAUUCGAUAGAAUGUGUUGCGCUGU
RNAcentral lists this non-coding RNA (162 nucleotides) under uncultured Gemmiger sp. Its description in RNAcentral is "Lysine riboswitch". It matches the Rfam family "Lysine riboswitch aptamer". From Rfam's summary of the family: Riboswitches are metabolite binding domains within certain messenger RNAs that serve as precision sensors for their corresponding targets. Allosteric rearrangement of mRNA structure is mediated by ligand binding, and this results in modulation of gene expression. The record is from RNAcentral. Lineage: Bacteria; Bacillati; Bacillota; Clostridia; Eubacteriales; Oscillospiraceae.